UGGGGAAUUGUUCACAAUGGGCGCAAGCCUGAUGACGCAAUGCCGCGUGGAGGAUGAAGGUCUUCGGAUUGUAAACUCCUGUUGCCAGGGACGAAUGGCUCCGACCUAACACGUCGGAGAAUGACGGUACCUGGUGAGGAAGGCCCGGCUAACUCUGUGCCAGCAGCCGCGGUAAUACAGAGGGGGCGAGCGUUGUUCGGAAUUACUGGGCGUAAAGGGCGCGUAGGCGGCCUUCUAAGUCGAACGUGAAAUCCCCGGGCUCAACCCGGGAACUGCGUCCGAUACUGGGAGGCUUGAAUCCGGGAGAGGGAUGUGGAAUUCCAGGUGUAGCGGUGAAAUGCGUAGAUAUCUGGAGGAACACCGGUGGCGAAGGCGGCAUCCUGGACCGGUAUUGACGCUGAGGCGCGAAAGCCAGGGGAGCAAAC
This 425-nucleotide ribosomal RNA is filed under the name uncultured bacterium. RNAcentral describes it as "bacterial SSU rRNA". It matches the Rfam family "Bacterial small subunit ribosomal RNA", at positions 355 to 773 of the family's 1533-position model. The record is from RNAcentral.